RNAcentral lists this ribosomal RNA (492 nucleotides) under uncultured bacterium. RNAcentral describes it as "partial 16S ribosomal RNA". It matches the Rfam family "Bacterial small subunit ribosomal RNA", at positions 29 to 507 of the family's 1533-position model. The record is from RNAcentral.
AGUGAACGCUGGCGAUAGGCCUAAUACAUGCAAGUCGAACGGCAACACAGUAAGAGCUUUCUCUUACGGUUAGCGAGUGACGGACGGGUGAGGAAUACAUCGGAAUCUACUUUUUCGUGGGUGAUAACGUGGGGAAACUUACGCUAAUACCGCAUACGACCUACGGGUGAAAGCAGUGGAUCUUCGGACCUUGCGCGAUUGAAUGAGCCGAUGUCGGAUUGGCUAGUUGGCGAGGUAAAGGCCCACCAAGGCGACGAUGCGUAGCUGGUCUGAGAGGAUGAUCAGCCACACUGGAACUGAGACACGGUCCAGACUCCUACGGGAGGCAGCAGUGGGGAAUAUUGGACAAUGGGCGAAAGCCUGAUCCAGCCAUACCGCGUGGGUGAAGAAGGCCUUCGGGUUGUAAAGCCCUUUUGUUGGGAAAGAAAAGCAGCAGGUUAAUACCCCGCUGUUCUGACGGUACCCAAAGAAUAAGCACCGGCUAACUUCGUG